This 253-nucleotide ribosomal RNA is filed under the name uncultured bacterium. RNAcentral describes it as "partial 16S ribosomal RNA". It matches the Rfam family "Bacterial small subunit ribosomal RNA", at positions 524 to 776 of the family's 1533-position model. The record is from RNAcentral.
UACGAACUGUGCGAUCGUUAUUCGGAAUCACUGGGCUUAAAGGGUGCGUAGGCGGCUGCCUAAGUCAGGUGUGAAAUCUCUCGGCUCAACCGGGAAACUGCGCUUGAUACUGGGCGGCUCGAGUGAGGUAGGGGUGUGUGGAACUUCCGGUGGAGCGGUGAAAUGUGUAGAUAUCGGAAGGAACGCCAGCAGCGAAAGCGGCACACUGGGCCUUUUCUGACGCUGAGGCACGAAAGCCAGGGGAGCGAACGGG